This is a non-coding RNA of Neolamprologus brichardi, 649 nucleotides long. The record is from RefSeq and is a predicted model, not a curated record. Lineage: Eukaryota; Metazoa; Chordata; Actinopteri; Cichliformes; Cichlidae.
UGCCCACCAUCCCUGGCCUCCCCACUCGGCCUUGUUUCUAUGACAUCGACCUGGACCCCGAGACCGAACAGGUCAAUGGACUCUUCUGAGAGACAAAAAAAAAAAAAGGUCCUCACACCCUUUGAUGACAUUUCCCAUCAGUCCUCUGAGCGCCAAAGAAAUGUGAAGAAGAACCAACUGGAAGCACCUCAAACUCGUCUGCUGUUUUUGUUGUUUCUCAUAUUAACACUGAUGUCUGUAAAGCUGCUGCUGAUAGAUCAGGACGGUCUUUCUCCCUGCUAUCAGGCACAUGUUAUUCCGUUAUAUUGCUGACUGAACAGACACAUUUCACAUCUCAGAUUGCCCAGGCUGUAUUUACUAACUACUUGUGUAUAUUUUGUGAGCACCACACCAGAGGCAUUUCCUUCAGUUCAGUCUUUAACAAGCUGUGCCCUUCGGAUAAAGGUUUUAUUACAUAAGUCUUAACAAGAAAUGCUGUCUUAAAACAAAAUUAUAAUUUGUUUAAUCCCAUCUUUCUCUGUCUUUGUUUUAAUUAACACUCUGUAACAUUUUUCGAAAAGUCGCCAUCAUUGCUGUGAAGCUCACUGGCCAUGUCAUUGUAAAAUCAGUGAUUUCCUCAUAUCUGUGAAAUAAAGGCUUUUAAAACAAA